Molecule: ribosomal RNA, 640 nt
Filed under: uncultured bacterium
Lineage: Bacteria
Description: bacterial SSU rRNA
Rfam family: Bacterial small subunit ribosomal RNA (bases 1-532)
Source: RNAcentral
CCUACGGGAGGCAGCAGUGAGGAAUAUUGGACAAUGGGCGCAAGCCUGAUCCAGCCAUGCCGCGUGCAGGGAGAAGCAUCUAUGGUGUGUAAACUGCUUUUGUACAGGAAGAAACACUCCCUCGUGAGGGAGCUUGACGGUACUGUAAGAAUAAGGAUCGGCUAACUCCGUGCCAGCAGCCGCGGUAAUACGGAGGAUCCAAGCGUUAUCCGGAAUCAUUGGGUUUAAAGGGUCCGUAGGCGGUUUGGUAAGUCAGUGGUGAAAGCCCAUCGCUCAACGGUGGAACGGCCAUUGAUACUGCUAGACUUGAAUUAUUGUGAAGUAACUAGAAUAUGUAGUGUAGCGGUGAAAUGCUUAGAGAUUACAUGGAAUACCAAUUGCGAAGGCAGGUUACUAACAAUAUAUUGACGCUGAUGGACGAAAGCGUGGGGAGCGAACAGGAUUAGAUACCCUGGUAGUCCACGCCGUAAACGAUGGAUACUAGNUGUGGUAGUAUACUCAGUGCGUAGAGAAGUAGAGUAAGUAUACCACCGUCGGGUAGGUACGUUCGCGAGAAGUAGAACGUACGAAAGUAGUAAGUUAGUACGGACGUAGAGACGUUACGGACCGACGGACGACCGACGGAGGGGAGGGUAGGGAG